GAUGAACGCUGGCGGCGUGCUUAACACAUGCAAGUCGAACGGAAAGGCCCAAGCUUGCUUGGGUACUCGAGUGGCGAACGGGUGAGUAACACGUGGGUGAUCUGCCCUGCACUUCGGGAUAAGCCUGGGAAACUGGGGCUAAUACCGGAUAGGACGAUGGGUUGGAUGCCAUUGUGGAGAGAUUUUUCGGUGUGGGAUGAGUUCGCGGGCUAUCAGCUUGUCGGUGGGGUAUUGGCCUACCAAGGCGUGGCCGUGUAGCCGCGCUGAGAGGGUGUACGGCCAUAUUGGGACUGAGAUACGGCCCAGGCACCGACGGGAGGCAGCAGGGGGGAAGAUUGAACAAGGGGCGCAAGCCGGAUGAAGCGGCGCCGCGUGGGGGAUGACGGCCUUCGGGUUGUAAACUCCAUUCGCUAGGGACGAAGCGUUUUUGGGACGUUACCUGGAGGAGAAGCACCGGCGAACUACGU
Molecule: ribosomal RNA, 467 nt
Filed under: uncultured bacterium
Lineage: Bacteria
Description: partial 16S ribosomal RNA
Rfam family: Bacterial small subunit ribosomal RNA
Source: RNAcentral